This 249-nucleotide ribosomal RNA is filed under the name uncultured bacterium. RNAcentral's name for it is "partial 16S ribosomal RNA". It matches the Rfam family "Bacterial small subunit ribosomal RNA", at positions 1243 to 1500 of the family's 1533-position model. The record is from RNAcentral.
CGAGAAGCGAGCCUGCGAAGGCAAGCGGAUCUCUUAAAGCUGUUCUCAGUUCGGACUGCAGUCUGCAACUCGACUGCACGAAGUCGGAAUUGCUAGUAAUCGUAGGUCAGCAUACUACGGUGAAUACGUUCCCGGGCCUUGUACACACCGCCCGUCAAGCCAUGGAAGCCGGGAGUGCCUGAAGUGUGCAACCGCAAGGAGCGCCCUAAGGUAAAACCGGUGACUGGGGCUAAGUCGUAACAAGGUAGC